UAAUUCUGGGAAAAAAGUCGUAACAAGGUCUCCGUAGGUGAACCUGCGGAGGGAUCAUUA
This 60-nucleotide ribosomal RNA is filed under the name Fulvia fulva. RNAcentral's name for it is "Passalora fulva partial 18S ribosomal RNA". It matches the Rfam family "Eukaryotic small subunit ribosomal RNA", at positions 1767 to 1831 of the family's 1831-position model. Lineage: Eukaryota; Fungi; Ascomycota; Dothideomycetes; Mycosphaerellales; Mycosphaerellaceae. The record is from RNAcentral.